RNAcentral lists this ribosomal RNA (273 nucleotides) under uncultured Acholeplasma sp. RNAcentral's name for it is "partial 16S ribosomal RNA". It matches the Rfam family "Bacterial small subunit ribosomal RNA", at positions 1108 to 1382 of the family's 1533-position model. The record is from RNAcentral. Lineage: Bacteria; Bacillati; Mycoplasmatota; Mollicutes; Acholeplasmatales; Acholeplasmataceae.
UUGCUAGUUACCAUCAUUAAUUGGGGGACUCUAGCGAGACUGCCAGUGAUAAACUGGAGGAAGUGGGGGAUGACGUCAAAUCAUCAUGCCCCUUAUGACCUGGGCUACAAACGUGAUACAAUGGCUGGAACAAAGGGAUGCGAAGCAGUGAUGUGGAGCGAAACCCAUAAAAACAGUCUCAGUUCGGAUUGAAGUCUGCAACUCGACUUCAUGAAGUCGGAAUCGCUAGUAAUCGCGGAUCAGAACGCCGCGGUGAAUACGUUCUCGGGGUUU